UACGUAGGGGGCAAGCGUUAUCCGGAUUUAUUGGGUUUAAAGGGUGCGUAGGCGGCCUUUUAAGUCAGCGGUGAAAGUCUGUGGCUCAACCCCAUCCAGCCGUUGAAACUGGGGAUCUAGAGUGUGCGAGAGGUAUGCGGAAUGCGUGGUGUAGCGGUGAAAUGCAUAGAUAUCACGCAGAACCCCGAUUGCGAAGGCAGCAUACCGGUGCACAACUGACGCUCAGGCACGAAAGCGUGGGUAUCGAACAGG
RNAcentral lists this ribosomal RNA (252 nucleotides) under uncultured Bacteroidales bacterium. RNAcentral's name for it is "partial 16S ribosomal RNA". It matches the Rfam family "Bacterial small subunit ribosomal RNA", at positions 524 to 776 of the family's 1533-position model. Lineage: Bacteria; Pseudomonadati; Bacteroidota; Bacteroidia; Bacteroidales. The record is from RNAcentral.